This 575-nucleotide long non-coding RNA is filed under the name Homo sapiens (human). RNAcentral's name for it is "non-protein coding lnc-TLK1-7:7". Lineage: Eukaryota; Metazoa; Chordata; Mammalia; Primates; Hominidae. The record is from RNAcentral.
CAAAGGAUGCAAGGUGUUGUAAACCGACUGUCCAAGUUACUGAAACCUGGGGGAAUGCUGUUAUUUCGAGACUAUGGAAGAUAUGAUAAGACUCAGCUUCGUUUUAAAAAGGGUAAUAGUAUAUUCAGUUUGAGGUUAUUUUUAAAUGUUCUAAAGAAUGCCUUGUUUAUAUUUCACAUCAAAGUAUUUAGUUGUUUUUUUUUAAAGGAAUACCCUUAAGAGUUUCUCUUUUCACAAUUUUUUUCAGGACAUUGUUUAUCUGAAAAUUUUUAUGUUCGAGGAGAUGGUACCAGAGCAUAUUUCUUUACAAAAGGGGAAGUCCACAGUAUGUUCUGCAAAGCCAGUUUAGAUGAAAAGCAAAAUCUGGUUGAUCGCCGCUUACAAGUUAAUAGGAAAAAACAAGUGAAAAUGCACCGAGUGUGGAUUCAAGGCAAAUUCCAGAAACCAUUGCACCAGACUCAGAAUAGCUCCAAUAUGGUAUCUACACUCCUUUCACAAGACUGAACUUUGUAACAUGUUAAGGUACAAAGCCAGAGGACUGUGCUAUUCAAGGACUACUGUAAGUCUAUUGUUUC